Molecule: ribosomal RNA, 500 nt
Filed under: uncultured bacterium
Lineage: Bacteria
Description: partial 16S ribosomal RNA
Rfam family: Bacterial small subunit ribosomal RNA
Source: RNAcentral
AUUGAACGCUGGCGGCAUGCCUUACACAUGCAAGUCGAACGGCAGCGGGGACUUCGGUCCGCCGGCGAGUGGCGAACGGGUGAGUAAUACAUCGGAACGUACCUAUUAGUGGGGGAUAACUAAGCGAAAGUUUAGCUAAUACCGCAUACGACCUGAGGGUGAAAGCGGGGGAUCUUCGGACCUCGCGCUAAUAGAGCGGCCGAUGGCUGAUUAGCUAGUUGGUGAGGUAAAGGCUCACCAAGGCGACGAUCAGUAGCGGGUCUUAGAGGACGAUCCGCCAAACUGGAACUGAGACACGGUCCAGACUCCUACGGGAGGCAGCAGUGGGGAAUCUUGGACAAUGGGCGAAAGCCUGAUCCAGCAAUGCCGCGUGGGUGAAGAAGGCCUUCGGGUUGUAAAGCCCUUUUGUACGGGAGCAAAUCCUUGUCACUAAUACUGGCUGGGGAUGAGAGUACCGUAAGAAUCAGCACCGGCUAACUACGUGCCAGCAGCCGCCGUAA